AGCGAACGCUGGCGGCAUGCCUAACACAUGCAAGUCGAACGAGACCUUCGGGUCUAGUGGCGCACGGGUGCGUAACGCGUGGGAACCUGCCCUUAGGUUCGGAAUAACUCCCCGAAAGGGGUGCUAAUACCGGAUAAUGUCUUCGGACCAAAGAUUUAUCGCCUUUGGAUGGGCCCGCGUUGGAUUAGCUAGUUGGUAGGGUAAAAGCCUACCAAGGCGACGAUCCAUAGCUGGUCUGAGAGGAUGAUCAGCCACACUGGGACUGAGACACGGCCCAGACUCCUACGGGAGGCAGCAGUGGGGAAUAUUGGACAAUGGGCGAAGGCCUGAUCCAGCAAUGCCGCGUGAGUGAUGAAGGCCUUAGGGUUGUAAAGCUCUUUUACCCGGGAUGAUAAUGACAGUACCGGGAGAAUAAGCUCCGGCUAACUCCGUG
RNAcentral lists this ribosomal RNA (433 nucleotides) under uncultured bacterium. RNAcentral describes it as "partial 16S ribosomal RNA". It matches the Rfam family "Bacterial small subunit ribosomal RNA", at positions 29 to 507 of the family's 1533-position model. The record is from RNAcentral.